CCUGACCAAAGGCCUGGCGGAACAACUCCGUCUUGUAGGCCCUGCGGAAAGAUGUCAAAUCCCACAGGGCCCUGAUCUCUUGUGGCAGAGUGUUCCACCUACUAGAGGAGGAGCCCCCCACUGUAUUAAGGAAAUGGGUGUAUGAGUCGCUGGUGGGUGGCAUAGUUCGCACCCAGGGAGUUUGGAGCUCAGAAUGACAGACACUUUGUGGUUUGCUUGGGCUUUGUCUGGAUGUGGGAAGAGGAGCCGUACACUGAGCCUUGUUCACAAGGUUGCGACAAGCGGCAGACCAGCCGUGCCGCAUCUGAAGGUGUGCACAUUCCCUUCAGCGCAGUCAGUUAUCUGCAAUAAGCAAGUCUUUUCUUGCGUGUAAAAGGAAAGAAUGCCUGUGAAUCAUUUGUCUCCCAGGAGGCCUCAGGAUUUAGCAGCUGGGUUCCAUUGCUUACAUGCAAAAUAUUUCUUUCUCUGUACAGGUGGGGGAAUCGGAGCCGAUGUUGAUCCCCAUCCGAAUGACUGUGAAAGGCUGCCCAAUCUUCUUGCAGAUGACAGGACCCAGCCAUCCCAUGCCAACGCCCGUAAUCAGGUUUGGGGCCCACAUCUCCGGAGGGGAUACAGUCUCGCGGUACGUCCGGCUCAACAACCCCACCCCCUUUGGUAAGUGAAGAGGAUGUUUGCCCUUUGUGAGAAGCAUUAUGGCAAAAGCAGGGGUCCUGUUUCCAACCCAGCACCGAGUGGGGCCCGAGUGGGGCCAGAGGCAGAGCAAUAAAUGUACAUUACCGUAUUAUUCGCUCUAUAAGACACACUUUUCCCCCUCCAAAAAUUAAGGGGAAAUGUGUGUGUGUCUUAUGGAGCGAAUGCAGGCUCCUUGGCUUCAGCGAUAGCAACCACAAAACCUCUGAAGCGCAGAGGGAGCACUCCCUCCGUGCUCCGGAGGCUUCGGGUUGCUUUCACUGAAGCCAGGAGAGCAAGACUCUCCUGGAUUCAGCGAAAGGAACCUGAAGCCCCUGGAGCGCAGCGGAAAGUCCCGCUGCACUCCGAAGGCUUUGGGUUGCCUUCACUGAAGCCUGGAGAGCGAGAGGGGUCAGUGUUCACCGACCCCUCUCGCUCUCCAGGCUUCAGGGAUAGCCGCCUGAAGCCGGAGGCUUCGGGUUGCUUCGCUGAAGCCAGGAGAGCGAGACGGAUCGGUGCACACCAAUCCCUCUUGUUCUCCUGGCUUUGCUUCGCUGGAGAGGCGCUGCACAGCUUUCCCUCUCUGCGCAGCGCCCCUUCAGCGAAGUGAGAGGAGAAAUGGAAGGGGCUCUGUUUCUCCUGCCGCUUCGCUGAAGGGGCGCUGAGCAGAGGGGGAGAUUUUUUUUUCUUGUUCUCCCCCUCUAAAACAAGGUGCAUCCUAUGGUCGGGCGUGUCCUAUAGAGUGAAAAAUACGGUGGUUCCUUUGCACAGCAGGCUGCUUUCUGCUGUGCAAAUAUUAAUGCACCCCUCUCUUUUCAUCCAACCAAGCAAGGAGCAUUAUCAGAGUCCAUGGACACUUUUCAGCAAAACACUUGGGCAAGGGAGGGGAGUUCCAGGCGCCAGGCAGACACCCAGAGCAGCUUAUAUUUGUCUCAUGGGCCUGAGUUUCCCCACUUCUGCAUUACAGUGUUUUUGUUGCUGCGACAAUGGCAAAGGCCCAGUAGCAACCAGUUCCAGUAGGAAGCUUUUGAGCAUCUUUCACUGAGCUCUCCUUGCCUUUGUGGGGAUACUGAAUGAGCUACAAUCCCGGCAGUUUUGGAAUUUCCAUGUUAACCAACAGCGGUUCAAGGCUCCAUGCUGUCCCAUAGGCUAAGGUUUUGUGGUGAAUGUCCCAAGGGCAUUUCUGUGGUCUCAGAACUUUCCCCUGCUCGCCUGCUUCCAAUGUUGUCUUUGCAACAUUGCCACUCUGGGUAGCUUCCAGCAAAAUAUUAAUAACACAAUAAAACCUCAAAUAUUAAAA
Podarcis muralis (Common wall lizard) is the source of this 1969-nucleotide long non-coding RNA. The record is from Ensembl. NCBI's taxonomy places the organism in Eukaryota, Metazoa, Chordata, Lepidosauria, Squamata, Lacertidae.